RNAcentral lists this long non-coding RNA (4431 nucleotides) under Nicotiana benthamiana. Its description in RNAcentral is "long non-coding RNA (NBEN_LNC019014)". Lineage: Eukaryota; Viridiplantae; Streptophyta; Magnoliopsida; Solanales; Solanaceae. The record is from RNAcentral.
AAGUAAGCGGAAGAAAAAUAAUAAAAUAUCAAAAAUAUGAAUCUAUUACAAUUUUUUAAGCCUUAAUCACCCAAAACUGGUGUCACAGUACCACCGACAGUCUAAGACUGCUAAAUACAAGGUCUGAAAAUAAAAGACACACUGUUUCUGAAGCAAAGAGAUGAAACAAGAAAUAAAUAAUAAAGGAGAUGCUAGGUCCUGCGGACGCCUGCAGGUCUACCUUGGAUCUCAGUGUGGACUGAAGGUAGCCUCCAAAGUACGGUCCAAGAGCUACUCCUGGAUCUGCAGAUAGUACAGAGUGUAGUGUCAGAACAACUGACCCCAUGUGCUGGUAAGUGCCUAGCCUAACCUCGGCGAAGUAGUGACGAGGCUAGGACCAGACUACCAAAUAAACCUAUACAGUAAUGUAAUAGACAUCAGAAAGUAAAGCAAACAAGUAAAGUGGGAGGGGGAAACAUGGUUUGGGGAAUAACAGGUAACAACACAAUAGCGAGAGGAUUGUAAAGAAACCAAACUCCAACUACUAAUAAGGGUAAGGAAACAAAGGCAGAAUUCAUUUUCAUUUCACAUCUCAUUGCAGGCGUGCAACCCGUUCCCAUUUCAUUUACCUCGUUGUAGGUGUGCAACUCGAUCCCAUUUCACAUAUCUUGUGGCAGGCAAGCCACCCGCUCCCAUUUUAAAUAUCUUGUGGUAGUCGUGCCACUCUCUCCCAUUUCAUGUAUCUCAUGGCAGGCAUGCCACCCGCUCCCAUUUCAUUUAUCUCAUGGCAGGCGUGCCACCCGCUCCAAUUUCAUUUAUCUCGUGGCAGGCGUAUCAUCCGCUUACAUUUUAUUUAUCUUGUGGUAGGUGUGCCACCCACUUCCAGUUGCAAUCAACAACAAUCACUAAGAAUCCCAGCGAGGGAACAAGAGCAAUAUAACAAUAUCCCGGCAAGGGAACAAGAGCAAUAUAACACUAUCCUGGCAAGAAAACAAUAAUAUUUCAAUAACAUCCUAGCAAGAGAACAAUAAUAUUUCAGCAACAUCUCGUCAAGGGAAAAAUAAUAUUUCAAUAACAUCCCAGCAAGGGAAUAAUAAUAUUUCAAUAAUAUCCCGGCAAGGGAAUAAUAAUAUUUCAAUAACAUGUGAAGUCAAUAAUUCACAACGCAGUCAUAAUAAUCACAAUACAAGUCUCACGAGCAUGCAAGACAUCGAUGUAUAGAUACUCGUCACCAUGCCUAUAUGUCGUACUCAACAAUUAACAAACAGAAAAUAAGACACAACUCCUACUCCCUCAAGCUAAGGUUAGACCAAAACUUACCUCGAUGCCACGAACACAAUUCACGUUUCAAUUAUAGCUUUACCCCUUGAUUCCACCACCAAUUCGCUCGAGUCUAGCCACAAGUUACUUAAUUACAUUAAUAAACGCUAAAUGAAUCAACCCCAAUGCAUGAAAAUGCAUUUUCCAAACUUUUACCAAAAAGUCAAAAAUCGCCCUGGGCCCACAUGGUCAAAACUAGAGGUUCAAACCAAAAUCCGAUUAUUCAUUCCCCCACGAACCCAAAUAUAUAUAUAUUUUUCAAAAUCAGACCUCAAAUCGAGAUCCAAAUCCCCAAUUUUUGAAAAACCUAGGUUCUACCAAAAAUACCCAAUUCACCCCAUGAAUAUCAUUGAUUUCGAAUUGAAAUCAUGUUAGAAGAUGUUAAGGAUUGAAGGAAACUAGUUAAAAAUGACUUACAACCGAUUUGGAAAAGAAGAAGCCUUUGGAAAAUUUCGCUAAAGUGUUUAUGUUUUGAGAGGAUAUGAAAAUGGGUUAAAAAUUCGUCUAAGUAUAAAAGUUGCAGGUUGUAGAUAUGGGAAAUGCGAACAGUGGUUCGCAAGUGCGAACCUCAACCUCUGCUAUGUUGGAAAACGCGAAAGGAAUCUCCCAAUAGCAAGGUGGGAAAUGCGAACAAAAGCUCACAAUUGCGAUAACAGGCCUAAGAGGGGUGCAUCGCAUUUGCAAAAGAACUCUCGCAUUUGCGAGGAAGAGUUGCCUGGGGUGUCUCGCAUUUGUGACUCAGCCUUUGCAUUUGUGAGCCAUGCUUCAAAAAUGCGAAGCCUGCAGGCCUGAACACGCCACAUAUAAACCUUCAAUUUACCAAGUUUAAAGUAUACCCCGUGGCCUAUCGAAAACUCACUCGAGCCCUCGGGGCUCAAAACCUAACAUGCACACCAACCUAGAAACAUCAUACAGACUCGCUCGUGCAUUCAAAAUACUUAAAUAACAUCAACAACUAUGAAUUUAGCAUCAAAAUCAUGAAAUUUUCUCAAGAACUUUCAAAUUUCCAAUUUUCCCCAAAAUGAUCUGAUUCACCCCUUUUUUAAAAAAUAAAAUAAACCCUCACUAAACCCUCUUAAAUUAAUAAAUUUUUUAGUAAAAGCUUGAAAAGGGAUUUUCAAUUUUGAAAGUGACAAAAAUAUGUUUCAAAAGGAAAAUAACUUAGAGUCGCCACUUGGCAUUUGAUUUCGGUGUGCCAGGCCAUCGGUUUUUUUUUAAAAAUAUUUAUUUUUUCUUUUAAAACAUUUCAGACUCUAAAGCCAAGUCCGCACCAGAGAUUCAGGUAAGGGGGUUUAUUUGAUUCGGGGAGAAGGUGUUAGGCAUUCCCCAAGUCCCGUGAAGUUCACGGUUGCAUACAUGAUCAAGUUGACUAUUAAAAUAUUCGAUUGAGGUAGAAAACAUAGAAAAGGAAAAUAAACACACAAGAGGCUCGAGGUCGUCCCUACCUAAUGAAAGAAAAAUAAAAAGUGAAAAAUAAAAAUACUAUUUUAUGAUUCCUCAAUGUGUUCCAUCACUGGCCUUCAAAUACAAAAAAGGAAAAUAAAAGCAAAAGCAAAAAUAAAAUACUAUUCUAUGCUUCCUUGAAACAUUCCGUCUUUGGCCUUCAUAUACAUCCACUUCGGGGCAUACCCAAGAUAAAAUAUAUACAAAGUCUUCGGGGCAUUCCACGGAUAAAUUUAACUACGGGAAUGACCUCUCGCCUCAAAACUAACAAAAUCCUAAAGCUUGCCUACCCAAGUGAUGACGGUCUAAACAUGUUCCAAGUAUCAAAUUAAUAAAGCAAAUUUUGUUUUACUUUUAAUUCCCUAAUCCAAUGACCCACUGCUCAAGUUCAUUUAAUCAGAUCUUUCCUUUAUGAGUAUCUACUAUGUCACAUCUAUUCAAAAGACAAGAACUCACACAUUGUUUACAAUUAGAACUCAAUCAAAGUUUCAAUUCACACAAAUAUGAAACGUAAAUUUACGAGUCAUCACCAAAUAAUCAAUAAAGCAUGAAUUGCAAACAAACACAAACAACUCACGGGAGAGAAAUCCGAAAAAUAGAGGGAAGGGAAAGAAUAAACCUUGAGACAGGCAAAAUUUCUCCUAGCAACGGAUCGAUGAACCGAAACUCAACACGGCGAACAAACUGCGAACAGUAAACACAGACCGAACCACAAAUGAAAGUCUGAACGCCACCUCAAACAAAGUCGGCUCAAUACUCCAUUUCAAGCAGGAAUCCUAGAAAGAAACGGGACCCUUUUUUCUUUGUUUACUGAUUUUUAAAAAAUGGAACAUGAAACUUGGAUCAAAACUAAUUUCAAAUCGUUUUCACUCUCAGAUUCUGUCACGUUUCCUUUUUGUUUGUUUUUCUUCGUUCCCUGCUUCUGUUUUUGUUCUUGUUUGUGUGUGUGCGCGUGAUUUUCUGGCUGGUUUCAGCGGGCUGUAUGUUACUGCUGAUUGUUUGGACGUGAGGGAGCAGCGGCUGUUUUAUAGUUUUGGUCGACUGGCGACUGGUGGUCCCUGCGUGGUUAUGGUGGUGGACGACGUGAGAUCGACGAUGGUGAAAAACGCAGCAGCAACUGCUCGUCAGAGUUGGACGCCGCUGCUGCUCGUUCAGUUCAUGUUCCGUUUUUGUUUCUCAUGAAGAAUGAAGAAGCUUAUGGCUAUGAAGGUUGAAGAAAAAGCAUCGUUUAGGGUCGCGUGGUUCGUGAUGUGGGGGGGGGUGAAGACAAAGAAGAACGGCGGCGGCUUAGGGUGGCUAAGGGUGCUAGGGUUUCGCUUCCUUCAUGGAGAAGAAGAAGAUGGAGUUCUAGUUGUCUUCUAGGGUUUUGGCGUGGGAGAAGAGAUGAAGUAGCUAGGGUUUUUUGGUCUUGUUCUCUAAUGAAGAAGAUGAAGUGUGGUCUUGUUGGGCCAAAAAUAAAGAAAUUAUGCUUUAAUAUUGGGCUAAAAGACAUAAAACCCAAAUCAUAUUUAAAUUCCUUUUAAUAUAAGGUAAAUAUACUACAUAAUGUAAAAAUUAAUCUAAUUAAUUAAACUAAAUGAUGUAUAAAAUAUGAAACUAUUUAUUGCAUUUUCAAGGAUUAUAUUAAAAUAAAAUAGGUUCAAAGUAAUAUACGUUAAAAUACCAAAUGCAUGAAUUAAAUAGAGACAC